GGAAGGUGCAGCCGGGCAAACCUGACAGGAACACUGCAGUGAUUUUCAGGCAUAUCUGCAUUUCUGAUUUGUUUAUGGCUUGGACUUGGACCAUGCCUGCUCCUGUUUGAACAGUUGGACUCACCUUUGUGUGGACACUUGUUUCUCCUUGGAUCUAUUUUUCCUCAUGGUCGUAGAUGUGUUCCUGGCUCUCCUCCUGUUAUGUAUGCAGAUGUCCGUGAUGAUCCCAACUCCAGCAAUCCUGAACUCUACCCUGCAUCCCAGCCUGCCAAGACAACUCCUGUAAUGUGGACUAGUUGCCAUUACGUCUCAGUACCAUGCUCGCCAGUUCUGUCCUCCAGCACCUCGCCACCUGCCACAGCUCCUUGCCAGCAGUAAAUGACACCUCUACUACUCAAUUGCUUCACCCUCAGGUGUGCCCGUCACUGCCAUCCUUCAGAAUACAGAUGCCAGCGCACAUCAACCAUCUCUCCUGUUUCCUGCAGAGGAGCAUUCUCCCUGCUUUUCUGGGCAGCCUAGCUAUGCCUGGGUCAUACAGUGCCACCAGCACCUCCUCCUCUGCUCAAGCAUCUUCCCCAUGCCUGCUUCCAGCUGUCCAGUCAGUUCCCUUUCCCUUCUGUGUUCAUGCAGCUGCAUGUGUGCACUUAGCCUUCCCUGUCCUCUGUUCAAUAAAUACCAUUCAUAG
Long non-coding RNA from Monopterus albus (swamp eel), 685 nucleotides. RefSeq lists it as uncharacterized. The record is from RefSeq and is a predicted model, not a curated record. NCBI's taxonomy places the organism in Eukaryota, Metazoa, Chordata, Actinopteri, Synbranchiformes, Synbranchidae. The transcript is spliced from 3 exons.